Molecule: long non-coding RNA, 753 nt
Organism: Marmota monax (woodchuck)
Lineage: Eukaryota; Metazoa; Chordata; Mammalia; Rodentia; Sciuridae
Exons: 2
Source: RefSeq, a predicted model, not a curated record
CAUAAAUUUAGUGGGCACCACAAGCCAUUGAGUUUAUCUGUGUGUACUCUGUUUUGGCUUUUGUAGUAAUCAUAUUUCCUAGUUUCUGUAUUUGAUGCUUUGACAUCUGGGUCCUUGCUGACCCUGAGAGUUGUUAGAGACAAUAAAGGACUCACCCAUGAGCAGACAUUUCAGAUGCAAACCAACCAGUCCAGAGCCCAACCUCAACCUUCAUUUGAGGUCUUACCCUCCAGGCCACUAUCCACCUGCCACAAUCACCCCACAGCCAGGUGCCAUACAACGAGGGUCUCUAUGUCCCAAAGCCCACUGGAAUUAUUCACACUAGUCAAUGCUGAGCUACCUGACUGCCUCCUCCGGUCACACAGAAACCACAACAAAGGCUCCCAGCCUCCCCUGCUGGAUUCCUCUGCCUCCUGACCAGCCCUGGUGCUGCCCAUGUGACCUCAUGGAGUGGUGUGAACGGACUUACAUCAGCUACAGAUAAGACUUGGGAGCUUUGAAAACUCAUCUAGAAACAGCAGCAUGAACAACCAUUUUUAUAUUCCUGACCACAAAGCGCACCUCCUUUACUAGAGACAGUCGAAGAAGGGCAAGGAAAGGGCCCAAGGAAAGGAAGGCCAGCCUCUGAGACUCCAUGGGCAUCCAGAGGUCAGCACACUCUUCUCACAACCAAUGGCUGACCAGACAAGGACUCUCCAGCCUUCCGCCCAUCGACUGCCUUCUGGGAUCCUUAAUACAAUCCUACAAACUGAA